This 493-nucleotide ribosomal RNA is filed under the name uncultured bacterium. Its description in RNAcentral is "partial 16S ribosomal RNA". It matches the Rfam family "Bacterial small subunit ribosomal RNA", at positions 29 to 523 of the family's 1533-position model. The record is from RNAcentral.
AUUGAACGCUGGCGGCAUGCCUUACACAUGCAAGUCGAACGGUAACAGGUUAAGCUGACGAGUGGCGAACGGGGGAGUAAUAAAUCGGAACGUGCCCAGUCGUGGGGGAUAACUGCUCGUAAGAGCAGCUAAUACCGCAUACGAACUGAGGGUGAAAGCGGGGGAUCGCAAGACCUCGGGCGAUUGGAGCGGCCGAUAUCAGAUUAGGUAGUUGGUGGGGUAAAGGCCCACGAAGCCAACGAUCUGUAGCUGGUCUGAGAGGCAGACCAGACACACUGGGACUGAGACACGUCCCAGACUCCUACGGGAGGCAGCAGUGGGGAAUUUUGGACAAUGGGCGCAAGCCUGAUCCAGCCAUGCCGCGUGCGGGAAGAAGGCCUUCGGGUUGUAAACCGCUUUUGUCAGGGAAGAAAAGGUUCUGGUUAAUACCUGGGACUCAUGACGGUACCUGAGGAAUAAGCACCGGCUACCUACGUGCCAGCAGCCGCGGUAA